RNAcentral lists this transfer RNA (76 nucleotides) under Rhodosalinus halophilus. RNAcentral's name for it is "Rhodosalinus sp. E84 tRNA-Val". It matches the Rfam family "tRNA". From Rfam's summary of the family: Transfer RNA (tRNA) molecules are approximately 80 nucleotides in length. The record is from RNAcentral. Lineage: Bacteria; Pseudomonadati; Pseudomonadota; Alphaproteobacteria; Rhodobacterales; Paracoccaceae.
GGGCGGUUAGCUCAGCUGGUAGAGCGCUUCGUUUACACCGAAGAUGUCGGCGGUUCGAGCCCGUCACCGCCCACCA